UGAGUACGAGAUGCUACGGCAUCGAAGCAGUCUAUGUCAUACUUCCAAGAAAAGCUUGCACUGUCAUAAACAAAGAAUGCCUGUACCAUAACCGACACAGGUGGGUAGGUAGAGUAUACUAAGGGGCGCGAGAUAACUCUCUCUAAGGAACUCGGCAAAAUGACUCCGUAACUUCAGGAGAAGGAGUGCCUUAUUUCUAAGGUUGCAAUAACAAGAUCCAAGCAACUGUUUACCAAAAACACAGGUCUCCGCUAAGUCGUAAGACGAUGUAUGGGGGCUGACGCCUGCCCAGUGCCAGAAGGUUAAAGAAGUUGGUUAGCAUUAGCGAAGCUGAUAACUGAAGCCCUGGUGAACGGCGGCCGUAACGAUAACGGUCCUAAGGUAGCGAAAUUCCUUGUCGGGUAAGUUCCGACCCGCACGAAAGGCGUAAUGAUUUGGAUACUGUCUCGGAGAGGGGCUCGGUGAAAUAGACUUGUCUGUGAAGAUGCGGACUACCUGCACCUGGACAGAAAGACCCUAUGAAGCUUUACUGUAACUUGAGAUUGAAAUUGGACUUUAUUUGCGCAGUAUAGGUGGGAGGCGUUGAGAAUAAUCUUGCGGGAUUGUUGGAGCCAUCAGUGAGAUACCACUCUUGUAAUGUUAGAUUUCUAACUUUGUAUCAUUAUCUGGUCAAAGAACAGUUUCAGGCGGGCAGUUUGACUGGGGCGGUCGCCUCCCAAAGGGUAACGGAGGCGCACAAAGGUUUCCUCUGAACGGGUAGAAAUCGUAUCUAGAGUGUAAAGGCAUAAGGAAGCUUGACUGUGAGACCUACAAGUCGAGCAGGGACGAAAGUCGGUCUUAGUGAUCUGACGGUGCUGAGUGGAAAGGCCGUCACUCAACGGAUAAAAGUUACUCUAAGGAUAACAGGCUGAUCUCCCCCAAGAGUUCACAUCGACGGGGAGGUUUGGCACCUCGAUGUCGGCUCAUCGCAUCCUGGGGCGGUAGUCCGUCCCAAGGGUUGGGCUGUUCGCCCAUGAAAGCGGUACGCGAGCUGGGUUCAGAACGUCGUGAGACAGUUCGGUCCAUAUCCGGUGUAGGCGUUAGAAUAUUGAGAGGAGCCUUCUCUAGUACGAGAGGACCGAGAAGGACAUACCUCUGGUGUACCAGUUAUCGUGCCAACGGUAAACGCUGGGUAGCUAUGUAUGGAGUGGAUAACCGCUGAAAGCAUCUAAGUGGGAAGCCCACCUCAAGAUAAGUAUUCUCAU
Molecule: ribosomal RNA, 1244 nt
Filed under: metagenome
Description: bacterial LSU rRNA
Rfam family: Bacterial large subunit ribosomal RNA
Source: RNAcentral